GAUCCUGGCUUAGGAUGAACGCUAGCUACAGGCUUAACACAUGCAAGUCGAGGGGCAGCAUGACGAUAGCUUGCUAUUGUUGAUGGCGACCGGCGCACGGGUGAGUAACGCGUAUCCAACCUUCCCUAUAGUAGAGGAUAGCCCGGCGAAAGUCGGAUUAAUACUCUAUGUUUUCCAAUGCAGACGUCUAAAAUGGAACAAAGGCUUGCCGCUAUAGGAUGGGGAUGCGUCUGAUUAGAUAGUAGGCGGGGUAACGGCCCACCUAGUCAACGAUCAGUAGGGGUUCUGAGAGGAAGGUCCCCCACAUUGGAACUGAGACACGGUCCAAACUCCUACGGGAGGCAGCAGUGAGGAAUAUUGGUCAAUGGGCGAGAGCCUGAACCAGCCAAGUAGCGUGCCAGGAUGACGGCCCUAUGGGUUGUAAACUGCUUUUAUAUAGGGAUAAAGUGCACUACGCGUAGUGUUUUGUAGGUACUAUAUGAAUAAGGACCGGCUAAUUCCGUGCCAGCCGCUGC
RNAcentral lists this ribosomal RNA (515 nucleotides) under uncultured bacterium. RNAcentral describes it as "bacterial SSU rRNA". It matches the Rfam family "Bacterial small subunit ribosomal RNA", at positions 15 to 518 of the family's 1533-position model. The record is from RNAcentral.